CCGGCCCUCACCAGUAGUUGCAGCUGUCGAGCCUAGCCAGCUGGGCGCCCGGACGGUGCCGCUCCCCAGUCAGCAGGUCCAGGCAGCUGCAGUGACCCGGCUGCACGCAGACGGAGCCAUCGGCACUCAGCACCUGGCCUGGGAGGGCAGUAACAGCCGGGCUAGCAGCGCCAAACGCAGUGCUGGAGGACAAGGAAGGGAGGGCCCUGGGUCAGUGGAAUGCGGGGUCCAAGGGGACUGCUGUGGGAUGGAGGAGGGGCGCCUGGGAGCCACGAUGAAGUAAAGAAGGAGACUGCGGGGGGCAGAGGAGGGGAAGUGCGAUGCUCCAGUUCAUAGCUGUCUUUUCUAAACACAGUUUAUGCCGAGCUUUCACUGGAGUUUUUUCUCCAGGGGAGUGGGGAAGAGACAGCCUGCGAGGAGCUUCCCUGUACCGCGUAUCCGCCAGACGAUGGGCCCCGUGGAGAGUUGAGUGAGGAUCAACACAGAUCUCCUAAGACGGAGGGGGCCAGGGACCGGAAAGCUGGCGGGAGUGGUGGGCGUUUGGGAAGGUGCCGGAGCUCAAUGUGAGAGGCCGGGACCGGGCACCGGGUCCUGUUCCUCCCGCCUCCGUGUGGAGCCUCCCGCCCUCGGACAGGUCCAAGCAGAGCUUCUCAAAGCGCCAUCCCUUCGCCCUAGCUGUUUGCUCCAGCAUCUUUUCACUCGGGACCGCUUCCUCGCCACUGCGCAGGCGCCACUGGACCGCGCACCCCUGCAGGCGGCUGGCCUGCGUCCCCUCUCCAUGGUCCUGGACUGGCCCCAAGCCCCGACACACGCAUGCGCACUCGUGCGCGCACAGGGUCAAGGUCAGCUCACCAACGCGCCCCACGCGGGGGGGUUUCGGAUGAUCCACCAAGAGGACGGCCCUUUUCCUGUGUGUUCCUGCUGUUUCUAUCAUAAAACUUGUCAACCGAGAAACGGAUAUGAGGGACACAUGCCCAGGGCUCUGUUCUGCUCAGCCCAGCAUCUGGAUUCAACAAAUGGAAUAAUGAGAAUAGAAGACGGAUCCACCCUUCCAGUAGAACAUCAGGUUCAGAAAGAAUACACUGGUAAGGAGAUGGCAUUUUGUCACUCCCAAACUCUUUUUCACUUGCUCGCUGAAAAUGUCCCCAUUUACCUUUAAGCCCUACUUCCAGUUGGCCCUACAAACCUCCUUUCACAAUGGCCACAUGGGCCCUUUAUGACAUCACCAAGGGCCCAGCCCUUCCUGGUCCUCAGUCUCCAGGUGCCAGGGCAGACCAGUACACCAGGAGCCAUUUCCUCUUGGCUCAGGGGAGCUCCAG
This 1319-nucleotide long non-coding RNA is filed under the name Bos indicus x Bos taurus (hybrid cattle). Its description in RNAcentral is "lncRNA (ENSBIXG00005021803.1)". The record is from RNAcentral. Lineage: Eukaryota; Metazoa; Chordata; Mammalia; Artiodactyla; Bovidae.